UACAGAGGGUGCGAGCGUUAAUCGGAAUUACUGGGCGUAAAGCGCGCGUAGACGGUUUUGUAAGUCGGGUGUGAAAUCCCUGGGCUCAACCUGGGAACUGCAUUCGAGACUGCAUUGCUAGAGUAUGGAAGAGGGAAGCGGAAUUUCCGGUGUAGCGGUGAAAUGCGUAGAUAUCGGAAGGAACACCAGUGGCGAAGGCGGCUUCCUGGUCCAAUACUGACGUUCAUGUGCGAAAGCGUGGGGAGCAAACAGG
RNAcentral lists this ribosomal RNA (253 nucleotides) under uncultured bacterium. RNAcentral's name for it is "partial 16S ribosomal RNA". It matches the Rfam family "Bacterial small subunit ribosomal RNA", at positions 524 to 776 of the family's 1533-position model. The record is from RNAcentral.